GCUAGGUAUGGUGGCACAUGCCUGUGGUCCUAGCUACUUGGGAGGCUGAGAUAGGAGGAUUACUUGAGCCUAGGAGGUCAAGGCUGCAGUGAGCAUUGACUGCACCACUGCACUCCAGCCUGGGCAACAGAGUAAGACCCUGUCUCAG
Molecule: unclassified non-coding RNA, 148 nt
Organism: Macaca fascicularis (crab-eating macaque)
Lineage: Eukaryota; Metazoa; Chordata; Mammalia; Primates; Cercopithecidae
Rfam family: Metazoan signal recognition particle RNA
About the family: The signal recognition particle (SRP) is a universally conserved ribonucleoprotein.
Source: Ensembl